This 227-nucleotide non-coding RNA is filed under the name Paucilactobacillus oligofermentans. RNAcentral describes it as "Lactobacillus oligofermentans T-box sequence". It matches the Rfam family "T-box leader". From Rfam's summary of the family: Uncharged tRNA acts as the effector for transcription antitermination of genes in the T-box leader family. T-boxes are found upstream of many aminoacyl-tRNA synthetase genes and some amino acid biosynthetic genes usually in Gram-positive bacteria. The anticodon of a specific tRNA base pairs to a specifier sequence within the T-box motif, and the NCCA acceptor tail of the tRNA base pairs to a conserved bulge in the T-box antiterminator hairpin. The record is from RNAcentral. Lineage: Bacteria; Bacillati; Bacillota; Bacilli; Lactobacillales; Lactobacillaceae.
UAAAAGACAUUGAGCGGAAAAGUAGAUUAGUUAUUUUGCCUAGAAAGUCCCUGACGAUGGAAAUGGGAUCGGAUAAUUAGUCGAAACACAUCUGUGAGUUGAUUUUCUGAACAUAGUAAGAAAAUCCGGGUAGCCCGUUACAGCAUAAGUUUAAUUAUUAAACUUAACGAGACUAAUUUUGUGAAAAAUUAGUAAUGCUGAGGUGGAACCGCGGAAACGCCCUCGUA